Molecule: long non-coding RNA, 6256 nt
Organism: Pongo pygmaeus (Bornean orangutan)
Lineage: Eukaryota; Metazoa; Chordata; Mammalia; Primates; Hominidae
Exons: 4
Source: RefSeq, a predicted model, not a curated record
AACUCAGUUGUGGCAUGCAACAUAUUGAGUACAGUUACAAGCAAAGCCCCAUGUGAAGAUUUCAUGAAAGCAAGAACUACAAACGGGACUCUCAUCUGGGAGAAAUAUGGUAGACCUAUACAUAUGUACAGGGAGAAGUCUAACGGCCAAUUAGACAUCAGAGACCAUAUCCAGAAAAAUACAUCCUUCAAUCAAAUUUCGAACUGAGCUUUCGCUCACUGUCCACCACUGCUGAUCACCGUCGUCGCAGACCCGCCGUUGACUUCUACCCCUCCGAUCUGGCAGGGUGUCCACUGCACUUCUGAUGCAGCAAGGCAGUGCCCAUUGCCGCUCCCAGUCAGGCUAGAGGCUCACCAUUGUUCCUGCACAGGCUAAGUGCCUGGGGUUCAUCCUAAUCGAGCUGAACAGAGCUGUAACACUCAUGCAUGACCCAAGAUUCCAUUCCUUGGAAUCCGUGAGGCCAAGAACCCGAGGUCAGAGAACAAGAGGCUUGCCACCAUCUUGGAAGCAGCCUACCACCAUCUUGGGAGCUCUAAGAACAAGGAUCCCCCGGUAACAUUUUGGUGACCAUGAAGGGACCUCCAAAGCGUUUGUCUCUUCCAGAAUCAAAGCUGUAAAACUACAAAUCGUUCUUCAAAUGGACCCCCAGAUGCAGUCCGUGACUAAGAUCUACUGCGGACCCCUGGAACAGCCUGCUAGCCCAUGCUCCGAUGUUAACAACAUCGAAGGCAUUCCUCCUGAGGAAAUCUCAACUGCACGACCCCUACUAUGCCCCAAUACAGCAGAAAGCACUUAAGAGCAGUCGUCGGCCAACCUCCCCAAUAGCACUUGGGUUUUACUGUUGAGUGGGGGAACUGAGAGACAGGACUAGCUGGAUUUCCUCCAAUCAGGUAGUAAAGAGGGCUCACUAAAAUACAAAUUAGGCUACAGCACAAGGUAAAGAAAUAGUCAAAUCAUAUAUCGCCUGAGAGCACAGAGGGAGGGACAAUGAUCAGGAUAUAAACUCACGCAUUCGAGCAGGGAGCGGCAACCCCCUUUGGGUCCCCUCCCAUUGUAUGGGGGCUCUGUUUUCACUCUAUUAAUCUUGCAAAUGAAAAAAAAAAAAGGCAGAGGGAGAAUUCAUUCUCUCUUGAGCUAGGACAUGCAUAUUCUCCUGCCCUUGGAUAUUGGAGAUCCUGAUCCUCAGGCCUUCAAAUUCCAGGACUUAUACCAGUGGCCUCCCACACCCCAGUUCUCAGUCCUUUGGCCUCAGACUGAGAGUUACACUAUCACUUCCCCUUGUUCUCAGGCCUUCAGACUCAGGCUGAGUUACACCACCAGCUUCCCUGGUUCUCCAUCUUACAGAGAGCAUAUCAUGGGACUUCUCAGCUCCCAUAAUUACAUUAGCCAAUUCCCAUUGUAAAUCCCCUCUUGUCUAUCUAUAUAUAUUCUAUUGGUUCUAUUUCUCCAGAAAACUCUAACUUAUCAAACAGUAAUUGCACUUCUAAAACUCCAUCGUACAGAAAUGCUUACCCAUGUGGACAAAGAUAUAUACAUAAGGAUGUUCACUGAAUCACUAGUUACAACAGCAAAACUUUAGGAAACAAACAAAAUGUCUAUCAACAGGAGAAUGGUUACAUAAAUUACAUUACAUCUCUACCAUGAAAUACUACGCAAGUGUUUUCACUCAAGAGAGCAGAAGAGUGACUUGGUCUGUUACAUUUUAAAAUGAUCCCUCUAAUAUAUUGAGGGUGGCCUGUCAUAGAAUGGAGAAGGAGCAAUGGCAGAUAGAGAAGAUCUGUUAAGAUGCUAUUAUAGCAACGCAGACAAGAGAUGUGGCUCUGAUAAGGAUAUUAAUGGUAAUGAGAAGUCAUCUGACUGUAUGUGUGUGUGUAUACAUACACACAAAUAUAGACAUACACAUAACACAAAUUUGGUGACUGACUAGAUGAGAAAUAUGAGAAAAAGAAAGGAAUUAAUGAUGGCCCAGAGUUUCUGGCCUGAGCUGGAACAAUGGAAUAUUUCUAUCUAACAGAUGAAAAAAUUAAACCACUCAGAGGUUAAAAAACCUGUUUAAAGUCACACCAAUAAAAUGGUAGAGUCACUAGAAUCCAGGUCCAUCUGACCGUAACUCUUAAUCGCUAUGCUACAAUGAUUUAUUUGUCUAAGGAACUUCAGCAUCUGUUACUGUGCCCAGUAUUAGUGCAUAUUUUCUUAUUUAACAUGAAGUAAUAAAAAAUACUAUGAGCUAGAUCAUUUAUUAGCCAAAUAAAAGUAUUUUUUAGCUAUAUGCUUAAUAAUUAAAAGAUUUUUAAGUGACUUUUAGUCAGCAAAUGACUUAUUAUUGAAUGGCAUUAAUUGUCAGUGAAGAUCAUUACUGCCCUCCAGGAUGACAAGCUUCAUAAAAUCUCAACACCCACUACACCCAACCUCCAAUACAGGAGAGAAGACAAGCAAAUUUGUUACCUGUGCUAAUAUGUUAAACAGAAAACUAAAAUGAGAUACACAAGAAAUACAAAAAUAUGUAUGCAUAUUAAACUUCUAUGUAAUCUACACCACACUUGAACGCUCUUCUCCAACUUGAGUCAGAAGACCAUGUAUGGUACUCAGAAUGGAUUCCAAAUCUAAACUGAAGAGACAGUGAAGCAAAACUCUUCUAACCAUUUCAGAUAUUUCCAUUUUAUUUUGUAGGCCUACAUACCUUCUUAUUUUGGUGCACUAAUUAUCUUUUAGGAAUCUCUGACAGUGUAUCAAUAUUAGAUAAACCUCAGGGAAGUAAGAAAAUUAUAUAAUAAAAGACAGCAGGUGUGGUGCAUCACACCUGUAAUCCCAGCACUUUGGGAAGCCAAGGCAGGAGGAUCACUUGAGCCAAGGGUUUGAGACCAGCCUCGGCAACAAAGUGAGACAGUUAGCCAGGCAUUGGUGGUGUGUACCUGUAGUCCCAGCUACUUGGGAGGCUGAGGCAGGAGAACCGCUUGAAUCUGGGAGGUGGAGGUGGCGGUGAGCUGAGAUCGCACCACUGCACUCCCACCUGGGCGACACAGCAAGACUCUGUCUCAGAAAAAAAGGAAAUACAGUUGGGCCUCUGUAUCCAUGGGUUUUGCACCUGCAGAUUCAACCAACUGGGAUGGAAGAUAAUAGCAUUUGUGGGAUGUGGAACCCACAGAUACAGACGGCUGACUUUUUGUAUGUGUGUAUAGGACAUUUUCCUAUCUUCAGGGCAGACUGCAGAACUUGAGGAGCAUCCAUGAAUUUUGGUGUCGGCGGACAUUUUGGAACCAAUUCUCUGUGGAUACGGCGGGACAACUGUAGAGAUGAAUUUAACAGCCAGUUCAAAUGCCUUUAGUCAAAAGCAUGCCCAAGUUUACUCAGCAGAUGAAAAAAAUCUGUAACAUAAACUACGCUAUUCCAAUAUGAAGAAGAGAUGUAACAGUAUAUUGGAAAUGAGCUUUCUGCCUAGAAAAGGAUAUUCGAACUCAUGUCUUUGUUACUACAAAUAGUUUGGGAACUCAAGCUUUAUAGUUAACUUCAAACAGAUUCUGAAAACAUAUCUUAAGUGUUUGAAAUUAGAGGAAUAACAUCUAUUUUUCCAGUAUCGUCAAACACUCAACUAUAAUAGACACUAGACACUUGAACAUGUGAUUUUAAAAACAAUCAUGACAAAUUUCCUGCAUUAUGAUCUAGGAAGUUUAGCCUUACCAUCUCUUACCUGUUAAGACAAAAAAAAGAAAAAAACAAAACAACAACAGAAAAAAACCUACCACUACCAAAAACAACGUAAAGAUUAUUUCCUUUCCCGUCCAGCAGGUAACAAAUUAGUAGUUCUGAUGGGCUAUGGACCCAGAAGUCUACAUUUUAAGGACCUAUACCUGGUGAUGAUAAGUAUGCAGGGAAGAGGGUCUGAAUUUCCAUGAUCAAUGAAAUGAAAUUGGUUCUGAGUGUUACAAUGCAGAGUAUUAUAGUCAACCUCAGUUUUACUGAAUGCUAUAAAUUCAAUUAAAUGUUAGAAGCACGGUAUGAGAGAAAAAAAAAAAGGGGGCUUUAGAGUCAGAGAAAUGGGUUCAAAUCAAAUACCCUAGUUUAUUAUGUAACCUUUCACAAGUCAGCUUCUCUGAGCCUUGGUCUUUUCACCAAUAAAAUGAGGAUAAUACUGCCUCUAACAUCACUUUUAUAAAUAUUAGAUAAAGAAGAUAAAUUGAGCAUGUGGCACAAUGACUAUUACAAAGCAAUGCUCAGUCACCAUCUGUUUUCUUCCUACCCCCUCUCUACUAAAUGUCAGAAUCUCGCCUUUAGUCAAUGCCCUUCACUCAGUAGUGUGCUGGUUAACAUUGAAUAACUAGCUGUCCAGAGGGAAGAAAGCCCAGUUUAUAGCACUGGUUUGUAGCACUGGCUUAUUUCUGUGGUGUAAAUACUCCUACCAUGGCUGAUCCCAAGCAUGAAGUCACUGAAUGCAGAGGUGUAAAGAGAUGUGCAGUAGCACACCAUUUUUCUCUAUCCCAUCUGUUUUAUUAUCUCUACUUUGUUUUAUUUUCUUCAUAACACUUUUACCUUUUUAAAUUAUCUUGUUUAAUUGUUUAGAUAUUUGUCAUGUUUCCCCUGACAAGAAAAAGCAUCAGGAAGGCAGGCAUCUUGUCUCAUGCUAAGUAGUUGUGAAGAUUCCCAAAAGUAUUAAAAAGUGUUUAAAAAGAAAAAGACUAAUUCAAUCAAAACACAUCCUCAAUUUCAGUACAAUUGCUCUUUCUGUUUGGUAAAGGAAGAAAGAAUAAACAUGACCAGUAACUACCAAAUGCUUAAAUUCAAGCAGCAGACUACUUCUCCCAUAUCACCUAACUCAGUCAAUAAAAAGAGGCCAGACAGAGGCACUUCCAUAUAAGAUGUCCAACUAGAAUAUCAUACUAAUUGAAUCCAAGGCAGGCAAUCUUACUAUCCUUAAUAAAUAAAUUCAGGCAGUUAUUUUAUGACUAUAGAAAGGGAAACAAAUACUACUGUUAAUAAGUUACGUAUUAUACUUUUUUUAUGUUUUAUUAAUCCAGCUUGUAGGCAAAGCCUCCGUACCUUGAAUUUACUUUACCUGCAUUAAUUAACAUCUGCAAACAUUCUACAGAGUUGUGAUAAGCUGCUUCAUGAAUUGGCAUCCAUCCCCUGUUAUCAGCAACAUCGACACUUCGGCCCCUUUUGAGCAGUUUCCUUAAGACUUUAACAUUGCCUUCCCUGGCAGCAAGUCCAACUGUAGAGCAUGUGUCCGCGUAAGCCUCUGUAAAAUCCAUUUGUUUGACCAGUCUACAAAACAAGGUAGAAGGAUAAUACUAUAGUCAAUAAAACAACACUUCACUCCUAGAGGUCAGCAAAUCAUGGUGGGCCUGUCUAAUAUCUCUCACAUGACUGACAAAGAAGGGCCCACAAUACAGAAAGUGACUGCCAUGCCACAGUCUCUGCUGGUGCCUAAAGCAGGAAGUUUCUCUGUUUGGCAUAUUGGAAUUCCUUAAAAUGUUCCCACUAAAAACAUGAAGGGACUUUUAAGUGUUCUAUCUUUUCUCCUCUGGAAAUGUUUGAGGAGUAGGCUUCUGCUCCUGUUCAUACCCCACCACAACGCACUCUUUGGUGCUCCAUUGAUAAGAGCACCUCUGCUUAAUCCCCAGUGUACACUACAUUAUGCAGAGAUGGCCAUUCAAUUACCAGCAAUGCUCAGCCUCAAUAUAUAGCCCUCUAUAGGAAACAACUAAACCCAAAGAGGCCAGAAAAGCAGUGAAAGAUAGGUGUUAUUCUAGUCUUCUUGCACCUGCUUGUCCUUUCCAGAAGAGGUUAAACACUCAGGUUUUCUAUGCUUGACCAAAUAGACCCACUGACUGAGCAUACUGAAACCAACAGAGAACACCACAAAGAAAUGAGCCCGGUUUUCCUACAUAGCCCAGAAAGUUCUUAACAGAGUUCUUGCCCACAUCAUCUCCCUCCAAUGCUCACUUCAAGUUCUCCUCCAGUCAGAGUCCAGUAUAGCUCUCAUGUGACUCUUUCAAAGACACAAUUUCUUGUUAGUGACUCUAUGAAGCAGUUUGGAUAUGGAAUACGUAUUUGAUUACAUAACUAUUGUUAAUUUUCUUAGAUGUGAUAAUGGCAUCACAGUUAUUAGGAGAAUGUCCUUAUUCUUUUUUUUUAGGGAACUUGCUCUAGGAUGAAUGUCCUUAUUCUUAUAAGACACAUGUAGAGUAUGUGGCAGUAAAAUGUCAUAACACAUGCAACUUCAAAUGUUUUCCAUUUAAAAGUAUAAAUAAAGUAAAAA